Molecule: small RNA, 636 nt
Filed under: Pan troglodytes (chimpanzee)
Lineage: Eukaryota; Metazoa; Chordata; Mammalia; Primates; Hominidae
Description: processed transcript
Source: RNAcentral
CACUGAUGAUCCUCGUCUGGGUCUGCUAUUUGCUGAGGGAUGAAGUCGCUCACACAGUCACCGAGAGCCGAGUCCUCCAGAACACCAGGCACCCGUUCCUCACUGCGCUGAAGUACGCCUUCCAGACCCACGACCGCCUGUGCUUUGUGAUGGAGUAUGCCAACGGGGGUGAGCUGUUCUUCCACCUGUCCCGGGAGCGUGUCUUCACAGAGGAGCGGGCCCGGUUUUAUGGUGCAGAGAUUGUCUCGGCUCUUGAGUACUUGCACUCACGGGACGUGGUAUACCGCGACAUCAAGCUGGAAAACCUCAUGCUGGACAAAGAUGGCCACAUCAAGAUCACUGACUUUGGCCUCUGCAAAGAGGGCAUCAGUGACGGGGCCACCAUGAAAACCUUCUGUGGGACCCCGGAGUACCUGGCGCCUGAGGUGCUGGAGGACAAUGACUAUGGCCGGGCCGUGGACUGGUGGGGGCUGGGUGUGGUCAUGUACGAGAUGAUGUGCGGCCGCCUGCCCUUCUACAACCAGGACCACGAGCGCCUCUUCGAGCUCAUCCUCAUGGAAGAGAUCCGCUUCCCGCGCACGCUCAGCCCCGAGGCCAAGUCCCUGCUUGCUGGGCUGCUUAAGAAGGACCCCAAGC